This is a non-coding RNA of Parelaphostrongylus tenuis, 74 nucleotides long. NCBI's taxonomy places the organism in Eukaryota, Metazoa, Nematoda, Chromadorea, Rhabditida, Metastrongylidae. The record is from the annotation of a GenBank genome assembly.
GCGUCGGUAGUGUAACGCUUCGAGCACGCGCCUCUGAAUAGGGUGAAGUGUGGGUUCGAGUCCCAGCUCACGCA